This 254-nucleotide ribosomal RNA is filed under the name uncultured prokaryote. RNAcentral describes it as "partial 16S ribosomal RNA". It matches the Rfam family "Bacterial small subunit ribosomal RNA", at positions 524 to 776 of the family's 1533-position model. The record is from RNAcentral.
UACGUAGGGGGCAAGCGUUGUCCGGAUUUAUUGGGCGUAAAGCGCACGCAGGCGGUCCGUCGCAUUCAAAGUGACAGGUCCCGGCUCAACCGGGGCAGGUCUGGGAAUAUGGACGGACUUGAGGACUUCAGAGGGACGCGGAAUUCCAGGUGGAGCGGUGAAAUGCGUAGAGAUCUGGAAGAACACCAAUGGCGAAAGCACUCCGCUGGGCCGAAAACUGACACUGACAGACGAGAGCUAGGGGAGCGAAUGGG